UACGUAGGGUGCGAGCGUUAAUCGGAAUUACUGGGCGUAAAGUGUGCGCAGGCGGCGUCGCAAGUCGAGUGUGAAAUCCCCGAGCUUAACUUGGGAAUUGCGCUCGAAACUACGAGGCUCGAGUGUGGCAGAGGGGGGUGGAAUUCCACGUGUAGCGGUGGAAUUCGUACAGAUGUGGAGGAACACCAAUGGCGAAGGCAGCCCCCUGGGCCAACACUGACGCUCAUGCACGAAAGCGUGGGGAGCAAACAGG
This 253-nucleotide ribosomal RNA is filed under the name uncultured bacterium. RNAcentral describes it as "partial 16S ribosomal RNA". It matches the Rfam family "Bacterial small subunit ribosomal RNA", at positions 524 to 776 of the family's 1533-position model. The record is from RNAcentral.